This 3115-nucleotide long non-coding RNA is filed under the name Sus scrofa (pig). RNAcentral describes it as "lncRNA (ENSSSCG00050033663.1)". The record is from RNAcentral. Lineage: Eukaryota; Metazoa; Chordata; Mammalia; Artiodactyla; Suidae.
UCAUUGUUUUAUAUUUGAUUCUCUGAUGAGAUUAUGGGGAAUCUAUAAACUCUUGGUCCCUUUUGGUAGAGCAUUCCGUUAGCAUGACACUAGUGCUGCAGAAGAGAAUUUGGUUUUGUAGCCUGUGUGGUUGAUUCACUUACUGUGAGUAGAGGAUGAGAGUUUCCAUUAGUAUUCUUCUUCAGUAUUAAUUUUAGAAAAAACUGAUUAUUUUGCAAAGAAAAAAUGGAGCAGUAACUUGUUAAUCUAGGGGAAGAUUAUACAGGACAGUGGUUAUUAGAAAUAAAUUUCCUUUAACAGCAACAGAAAAAUGUUUACUUUAUGACACUUGUCAUUUCUUGAUGGGGUGUGUGUGUGUGUGUGUGUGUGUGUGUGUGUUAUGUUGAGCAGCAAGUAGCUUCAUUAUCUUUCACCACUGGAAGCAGUGAAGAAAAAUAAGUGGCUUUCUGAUGAGGGAAUUAUUUUCAAAAUUUCAAGCCCUCUAAAACUAAAAAGAUUAUUUUUAAUGCCAUAUUAAUAUAAUUGCACAUUUUUUUCCUAAUGUUAAAGUGAUUCUGAUUGUCAAAGAGAACUUUCAAAAAGAUACACUAGUUCAGCGAAGCAGACUAAUAUUUUAGAAAGAAUAUUAGUAAUAAAAAGGACAGAAUUAUGAUAGUUUGAUACAUUAAUUUUAAGAACUUUUUUUCCAUCGCUCUCGAGUCAAGAUGAGAAAACUUAAACAGAAAUGUGGUUCUCAUUUUGAUUGUAUUGAAUUUAUUACCGGAAAUGCUAUCCUCCCUUCCGAUGCAGAGGGCUUUAAGUCCUUUUUGUUUAAAAGAGUGUAGGAGAGGUUAAUUUUCUAUAGCAAUGGAAUUAAAAAUUCUCUUCACCGAAUCAUUCCAGGCAGUGUAAUAAAAAAAAUGCAGUAAUUUGAAUAUAGCCAUCAAGGCAGUAGUUAUUUUAGUUAUAAGUGGUCUUCUGCCUUUUUAAGUAGCAGAUUGUCAGAGAUUAUCUAAUUCUGUUUUAUGAAACAGUUGCUCAUAAAAAUGCUUGUUCCUUGUCCUAUAGCUAUUAUAAAAUUGCUAAGUUCUUUCAUUAACUUUUUUCCUUUAUUACAUAGUACUUUUGUUCCAGUGGUCUGUCACAGAUUUGGGGGGUUCUGCAUUUUAUGAAUGUGUUAUAAACCCAUUCUAAGAAUGUGGUUUACUUUUGCUGCUGUGCCUGCCUAGAAAGUCUUUUCUUGCUUCUCGGCAGACUGUCAGUUAAAUGGUCCGCUUUUUAGAUUUUUAAAUUCUUUGUACCUAUUCCAUGUGCCACUUGGUAUGCCAUUUUGUUUUUACCUUACACUGCCUUUCAAGCCUCCCCAGAGGUGGACUAUCCUUGGAGCCAUCAAAGGGACCCUCAUCGCAUGAACCCCUUGGCAUUUUAUUUACUUAUUUUGUAGCAUGUGGAAGUUCUUGGGCCAGGGAUAGAACCUGCCACAGCAAUGACCCAAGCUGCUGCCGUGACAGCCCUGGAUACCCACUGUGGGUGGCCCUGACAUUUUGCAUACAAAAUGUUGUAGUCUUUUCCUUCUUUUUUCUUUUUUUCUUUUUAUUUUUUUUAGGGCCACACCCUCAGCAUAUGGAAGUUCCCAGGCUAGGGGUCGAAAUGGAGCUGUAGCCACCGGCCUACACCACAGCCACAGCAACGCAGAAUCCGAGCCGUGUCUGCAACCUACACCACAGCUCACAACAACGCCGGAUCGUUAACCCACUGAGCAAGGGCAGGGAUGGAACCAGCAACCUCAUGGUUCCUAGUGGGAUUCGUUAACCACUGCGCCACAACGGGAACUACCUUCUUUCUUUUUUUGAAAUUUAUUUUAGUGAAGUGUAGUUGAUCGUAGUCUUAAAGAAGCCCUGCAAUUAUAUGAACUUAGACCCACACAACCUGCCUUUUCUAAAGUUGAAGACCGUUAGAGGAGAUGCAAAACAAACUACGUGUAGAUUGUUAGCUUUGUGUUUUAGGUUAAAAGGAUACAAAUAGAGUAUGUGAAUGGGUCCGUGUGUGAUGUCAGAUUUAGUUUAUCACGAUAACCAUCCGGAGUGCACCAGAUGUUUUGACUGUAUUUAGCUUCAUAUUGAAUUAAGCACAGCCAGUGGCCUCCAAAGUCCAUCUGUACUGCUGCCAAAGGUAGCUCUGAAGACAGCGCCUUUCCCUUCUGCCCACUGCUAGCUGCUCUUUUCCUCUUGCCACGAUGUUGAGGCUUUUGAAUUGCUCUUGGGAAAGGUGAGUCUCUGUAUCUGAAAUUUGCAUUCAGUUUAUCUGCCUUCUUGAAUGAAGGGGCUUGCCCUUUUCAUUUCAAUAGGUCGUCAUUUUCAAUUUUUGCUUAUCCAUAAACCAGUAGAAAUAAAUCAAAUAAAUCAGAUUAGUUAGGAGCUUAUUGAGGCCUAAAGUCUAGUGAGAGAGGGCAGCCGUUUAUACACAAGUAACAGUUAAACACACGUAUGCCUGAGGUUUCUGUAUGCUUGCUACUAAUCACGGAAAAAAACAAAUUAUUGCUUUUGUUAUAUAAAUAUGUAUUACGAUCUGAAAACCCUUAGUUUUGUUUACACUCAGAAAGACAAGUAUUAAAAUCACUCAAAACCUUUAUAAGGAUUUAAAUGAGUGUACCUUGACUUUUACGUAAUUUCUGCUUCAUCAGCGUAAUCAAAGGAUGCAUGGAUUCUUUCCCCGCGGGAGGGAAGCCGACAGCUGCAGUGCUCGCUCUCAGUGUGAGGAUCGUGAAGAUGGCAGACCUUGCAGAGCAGACAGUUUCCUCCCAUACCUGCUCCCACCCUUCCUAGAAAAAGCAUUUAGACGCCUCUGAAAUGAGACCCGCAAAGCGUGUGCUAAUGCCAGAACAAAUAUCUUGGAAAUUUUAUCAUAAUGUUGCUUUUUAAGGCCCUAAAUGUCCUCUAUUUAAAAUGAAAUUCUUUUGUAUUAACCUCCUUUCAUAUGCUGGCUUUCACCAGCCUGCAGAAUUGCCUGAUUUGACUUUCUAAUGUAACUGUAAUGAAUCUUCUGGGAAGCCAAACGAUUGAACACGCGUACUCUGCGUCUCCAUUGUAAGAUAGUCAGUCCUGUCGAUGUUGCUGAUUAAAAAAAAAAAAAAAAA